UGGGGGAUAUUGCACAAUGGGCGAAAGCCUGAUGCAGCGACGCCGCGUGGGGGAUGAAGGCCUUCGGGUUGUAAACUUCUUUUGCUCUGAACAAGGCAUGCCUUUGGGGUGUGUUGAGUGUAGGGGUUGAUUAGCGCCGGCUAACUACGUGCCAGCAGCCGCGGUAAUACGUAGGGCGCGAGCGUUGUCCGGAAUUAUUGGGCGUAAAGGGCUUGUAGGUGGCUGGUUGCGUCUGUCGUGAAAGCUCAUGGCUUAACUGUGGGUUUGCGGUGGGUACGGUGUGGCUUGAGUGCAGUAGGGGAGGCUGGGAUUCCUGGUGUAGCGGUGGAAUGCGCAAAUAUCAGGAGGAAUACCGGUGGCGAGGGCGGGUAUCUGGGCUGUUACUGACGCUGAGGAGCGAAGGCGUGGGGAGCGAACAGG
Molecule: ribosomal RNA, 420 nt
Filed under: Fusobacteriota bacterium
Lineage: Bacteria; Fusobacteriati; Fusobacteriota
Description: Fusobacteria bacterium partial 16S ribosomal RNA
Rfam family: Bacterial small subunit ribosomal RNA
Source: RNAcentral